This is a long non-coding RNA of Daphnia carinata, 2169 nucleotides long. RefSeq lists it as uncharacterized. The transcript has 5 exons. The record is from RefSeq and is a predicted model, not a curated record. Lineage: Eukaryota; Metazoa; Arthropoda; Branchiopoda; Diplostraca; Daphniidae.
UGCGUACAAAAACUGAUCGUCGGCUUGUAAAUCAGGAAUGUCUUCGACAGUUGGCAUGGAGGAUACAGUCAUAACAAUGAGAGCCAAAAGAAGAAUGAUCUACAAAAACAUUUAAACAUGUACUCUUUGUGCACGAGACUUACUUUGAAAUGCAUGAUGUGAGAGGAGAAGAAGAGAUGCCAGUUGCAAAAGAACUGUGAAUUUGCUUCAGAAUUGCUAGGCUUUUUAUACAGCCAAACAAAAUUGCGGGAAGAGCCCGGAAGAACUUAACCUUCACCAAAGUCAAAGUCAUCUCCCGCGAGCGAAGGAGGAACAUACCGCAAGAGGAAAGCGAAAACAAAGGAAACCACGAUCUUCGUGAGCCGAAAAAUAAAAAAAAAAAAAAAAAAGGGAUGAGUGAUAUUUUGGAAUUUCACAAAGGCACGAAACUUUGAACAGUCUUAUUACGGAUGUCUUUGAAAAUGCGCCUCGUGUCGUGAAUCUUCGACUACCUGUUAGCCGAAUGUAAUUUGAUGACACUUCUUUUCCGACAGACCACAAAGCCAGCCUGUUUGCGCGGUUAAUUUAUGAGCAUUAAUAUAUUCUCUUUCUUUGCUUCAUUUUAGCCGGAGGAUACUAUCAGCAAUGCCAUGGUUGUACCAUAAAUUUAUUAUAUUUGGCAGUUCAAGGAAAGUCAACUAUUUUUGAAAAAAGGUAAACGAAUGGUGUUUGCUUUUCGUAUACUGUAUUGUUCGGUUAUAAAUAAUACAUUACAGACCCAAGUAGGCUAUAUAUGAGACGCGUACAGAGUAGCUUCACGCAACAUAUCUGAAGCCUUUAAUUAUCUAACUGUUUGAGGAAAUUGUCGGAGCCAUCCGACUGUGGAUAAUCAGUAAAUGGUAGAAGAAAUUCUGGCCAGUGCAAGAACAGAUGCAUAGGAUGCCCAUUUGCAGAAUUACGUAGCAGUUCAGAAGUAAUUAGCCCUGGCCAAAAAGAAAUGGUAAAAAACGAUUUAAUUUUAAUAGAAUUUAAUUUGUAUUUUACCUUGUCAAGAUACGCGCGGUUCAUCCUAGCGGAAUUAUAUAGCGCAAAUUUUGAAAAGAUUAAAUGUAGCGGGUGUAAUUCUGCAGAGCAAUCUGUAAAAAGAGAAAAUCAAACUAAAGGUAAGAAAAUUUAAUGAAAGAAAAUGUAUUCUUGUUUACCUGUUGGCAGCCCGUUCGCCUGCAGUCACGAAGAGCUAGAACGAACUGCAAUAGCUCCCCAGGAAUUCCAUUCGUUAAAUACCGACGACACCAACUUCGGAAACCAGGAUAAAACUGCACGCUAGCAUGAUUGUUAUGCUUUACUAAUUUGGCAAGAUGUUUCGUGUUAAAAAUUGAAUUUUUAAAAACCACAUCGUCAUCUUCUUCCCGGUGAGGAUAACUAUCAGUGUACGCGGGAAAUAAUAAUUCUCACGAAUCUUUCGUCAGUCACGCGGUCACGCUAGCAUAGUAAUAAAAAGAAUCAAGGACUCGUCUAGAGCUUUCCAAGUUCAAGUUCUUGGCAACGAAUAACAGCGAAAAAAAAAAUAAGGUACGACAAAAAUAAAACAAAACAAUAAUAAUAGCUUCAUACAAAAAAAAAGGAAAAAGAAAAAAGUUCUUUGUGGGAAUUUAUUCAUACUAUCGGCUUAGAGGGCACCUUGAAAGUCCUUUUGGCUGUUCCCUAUCUAUGGUGGUUAUUCAUCAGACCUUUCCCAUGGCGUUUGAAUAACAACGGAACGCUUUCCCUGUUACUUUUCAGGGGACCAAAACAAAGAAAUGGGUGCACGUGGAUAUGAGAGAACACCAACAAAUUUGCCCGACUUAUGAAUUGUAGAUAAUUUCAAAAAGUGCAUUUGUUUUAAUGGAAACGUCAGCUGGAAAUCUAAUGCCUGCAGUUAUAGCAUGUCGCUCACGGUGAAUUGCUAAAAAAAAAAACGAUUAUAUAAACAAAAUGAAAACUGGUUUUUCACUUUCACUUAAAGACUAACCGUCUGAACGCUAUAUUUAGUAUGCAGGUGCGCAAAAGUUUUCUAUUGGUGAUUCAAGACGAUGAAUGACAUUCAGCUAGCAAACCUUAUUUGUGAUUACAUUGAUUGAUGUAAAUUAGCAUUGGUUCAAACCUUUUGUCUUGAACUUAAUUUCAAUGAGUAAAAUGCAAAAACAUUGU